UGCUACCAUGCAAGUCGAACGGAGAAUCAGCAAUGAUUCUUAGUGGCGAACGGGUGAGUAACGCGUAGACAACCUGCCUUCUAGAUGGGGACAACACUGCGAAAGUGGUGCUAAUACCGAAUGUUGUAUUAAGCCUGCAUGGGCUUGAUACUAAAGGUGGCCUCUAUUUAUAAGCUAUCACUAGAAGAUGGGUCUGCGUCUGAUUAGCUAGUUGGUGAGGUAAUGGCUCACCAAGGCGAUGAUCAGUAGCCGGUCUGAGAGGAUGAACGGCCACACUGGGACUGAGACACGGCCCAGACUCCUACGGGAGGCAGCAGUGGGGAAUCUUCCGCAAUGGACGAAAGUCUGACGGAGCAACGCCGCGUGAGUGAAGAAGGUUUUCGGAUCGUAAAGCUCUGUCUUUGAGGACGAAUGUGUCUAAUGUGAAUAAUGUUAGAUAAUGACGGUACUCGAGGAGGAAGCCACGGCUAACUACGUGCCAGCAGCCGCGGUAAUACGUAGGUGGCAAGCGUUGUCCGGAAUUAUUGGGCGUAAAGCGCGCGCAGGCGGGAUAUUAAGUCUGUUUUAAAAGUUCGGGGCUCAACCCCGUGAUGGAAUGGAAACUAAUAUUCUUGAGUGCAGGAGAGGAAAGUGGAAUUCCCAGUGUAGCGGUGAAAUGCGUAGAUAUUGGGAGGAACACCAGUGGCGAAGGCGACUUUCUGGACUGUGUCUGACGCUGAGGCGCGAAAGCCAGGGGAGUGAACGGGAUUAGAUACCCCGGUAAUCCUGG
This 769-nucleotide ribosomal RNA is filed under the name uncultured Pelosinus sp. RNAcentral describes it as "partial 16S ribosomal RNA". It matches the Rfam family "Bacterial small subunit ribosomal RNA", at positions 45 to 799 of the family's 1533-position model. The record is from RNAcentral. Lineage: Bacteria; Bacillati; Bacillota; Negativicutes; Selenomonadales; Sporomusaceae.